Molecule: ribosomal RNA, 456 nt
Filed under: uncultured bacterium
Lineage: Bacteria
Description: bacterial SSU rRNA
Rfam family: Bacterial small subunit ribosomal RNA
Source: RNAcentral
GAGUUUGAUCUUGGCUCAGAGCGAACGUUAGCGGCGGGCCUAACACAUGCAAGUCGAACGAGAAUGAGGGGGCAACUCCUCUAGUAAAGUGGCGGACGGGUGCGUAACACGUUGGUAAUCUACCUUCCGGCGGGGGACAACAGUCCGAAAGGAUUGCUAAUACCGCAUACGUCGGCGAGAUCUCCGGAUCUUGCCGGGAAAGAUGGCCUCUCCUUGGAAGCUGUCACCGGAAGAUGAACCUGCGGCCCAUCAGCUUGUUGGUGAGGUAACGGCUCACCAAGGCUAAGACGGGUAGCUGGUCUGAGAGGAUGAUCAGCCACACUGGGACUGCGACACGGCCCAGACUCCUACGGGAGGCAGCAGUGGGGAAUAUUGGGCAAUGGGCGAAAGCCUGACCCAGCCACGCCGCGUGAGUGAUGAAGGCCUUCGGUCGUAAGCUCUGUGGGAGGGACGGAA